Melozone crissalis (California towhee) is the source of this 1603-nucleotide long non-coding RNA. RefSeq lists it as uncharacterized. Lineage: Eukaryota; Metazoa; Chordata; Aves; Passeriformes; Passerellidae. The record is from RefSeq and is a predicted model, not a curated record. The transcript is spliced from 2 exons.
UGAGAUGGACGAUCCUGGUUCUGGAGUCCUCUUUUGAGAGGCUGAGAAUUGGUUGGUUUUGAGGCCUCCCUGGACCAGAGUAGGGACCAGCAGCGUUUCCUGCCCCUCUGCUGUUGGGCAGUGGCAGCAUGUGCUGUUCCGAGGCUGUGCAUCCUCCACGGGGCUUGUCCUUGGGGCUGAGCCCUGCAAACUCCCUUGGUACUUGCUCCAUCCAGACGAUGUAUGGGUGAGAUAAGGGCAAUUCCUCUCUCUGGGGCCGGCUAGAGGCAGAACUGGGUGCCAGCCCUGAUCCCAGAGCCAGUCAAUCACUCCAUCACAAACUUUACCAGAUAAACUCUGUGUUAACCUGCAUGUUAAUCCAAGAGCUGUGGCUCCAUGCAGUAGCUGCAGGUCUCCAACAACAUGCCAGAGCAAUGGGAAGGUCUUUGACUGCUGGGCCUUUUCUGCCUAUGGCUGUCACUCACCCCUCCAAUACAUUUUUGGGAAUUGGGCUGUUCCUUGCUUGGGGUUCCAGAGUGCAAUGAGUCAAAGGUGUGUCCACAAAAGUCUGCAGCCUAGUGCUGAUACUGGGGGUAUAUUGUGAUGUCUUCCAGGGGUCCUGCGUGUUCCAGAGCUCACCCAUCUGAUGGAUAGACCCAGGUGAGAGGGUAGUACCCUUGUUGAAACUCCACAGCCCAUCCCUCCAAAUCCCUUUCCCACCAGAUCUGAACACCGAUCUUGUGGUCGAAAAAGGAGGAAGAGUAACAUUCAUGCUGGUCUUGGGCUCUCAGCAGGUGUGUCCUGUGCUGAGAGGGGCCACUAGGAAGACAGGCUGUGCUGGCCUCACUAUUUUGGGAAUUCUGGUUAGGAAGGAAACUCCUGGUCAGGAGAAGGGAUAAACAUGGGGCACGGGGGGCAGACAUGCCAUGAGGGUUGGGGAGGCUGUAAUUUAUUGGGAAUAUCUGAGCCGUGGAUUUACAGUAACCCAUUGCCUUCAGGCACUAAACUCCAGCUCUGUUUUUUCAGCAGUAACUCUGGAAAAAGACUAAAACCUGUGAGCCCUGUCCCAAGGGCUUCAGCUUGCUUUCUGUAGGACCUGAGUUGUGAGGAAGCUGCAGUGUGGAGCAUGUGAGUGUUCUCUGGAGAACUCCUGGUGUUGGGGUGGGCAGUCUAAGCAGAGGGUGAACCAUCCCUGAUGGACUUGGUGCUGCAGUGCCAGAGUGUUCUUUCCCAGCCCUCUCCUCCAGAAGUGGGAGCUCUGCAGAGCCAGAUCCUGGCUCCUUCCUGAGCUGUGAGCUCUGCCAAGUGGGAUCAGCCACUUCUGGGCUCCCCUCACCUGCAGUGGAGGGAGGUAGAACUGAUUUGGCUCCAGGUAUAUCUGAAGCUCUGGUUCAUAUGCUCCACCUGGAAGAACAGUCUGUUCCAUGGAGUUUUCUCAGGAGGGAGUCUGGAUAUUAAAUAUUUGAUUAGAGGAGAGAGCCAGUAAUGCCAAGGUGGUGGGUUUGAUCCCUGUACAGGCCAUUCGCUUAAGAGCUGGACUCAGUUGUCCAUGUGGGCCCCUUCCAGCUUGGAAUAUUCUCUGUGUGUGAUAGGAGUUUGAAUAAAUGCAAUUACUUCAAAUCUU